This 694-nucleotide long non-coding RNA is filed under the name Ananas comosus (pineapple). RNAcentral's name for it is "long non-coding RNA (ACOM_LNC003369)". Lineage: Eukaryota; Viridiplantae; Streptophyta; Magnoliopsida; Poales; Bromeliaceae. The record is from RNAcentral.
UAAUAUAAAUAAGGUAGAAAUGUAUGGAAUUUAUCAAAACUAUUGACUAUUUUUUUAUUUUAUUAUUCAAUCUCUUAAUUUGUUUGACUUAAAUAAUUUGAUAGCUCUUUGAAUAUAAAAUUUAAGCUAAUUAAUUAUUUUAAUAAACAUAUAGUUAUAUGAAUAAUAUGAAGUAUAUACUUAUUAAGCUCGUAAAGAUAAGUAGCACGUUCAAAUUUUGAAGUUAAAGAGUGAUUAACUAGCUCAACAAGAAUAAACUAAAAUGUUGGAUGGUAAAAUCAAAAUUUUUGAAGGAUCGACAUACCAUAUCAAGAUAGGCACUAGUUGAGGUAUGUUUUAUACAUUGUUAUCUAUAAAUUAAGAUCACUUAUUAUAUAUGCUCCCUGUCCUUCCACUAGGUUCUGGAUCACUAGCUUAAUAUAUAGAAGCAGCAAAGGAAAAAUGGGGAAGAUAAUUUUUAAAAGAGCAAUACAACUUGUAGAUUUGCGUAGAGGUGUAAAUUUUAUACCGCGUCAUCUAAAGAUUCCUUUUCUCACACUAGUCUUUUCACAUCCCUAUUUUUUAAUUACUAAAAGAUCAAAAGAAUUGUCUUAAUCCUUGGAUGGCUUGGAUGUAAGAUUCACGCCUACUUUAUAAGUGUAUAGGUAGCAAUUUUCUUUUGGAUUUAGAAAAUAAUGAGCUUCCAAUUUAUAAA